AUUGAACGCUGGCGGCAGGCCUAACACAUGCAAGUCGAACGGCAGCACAGAAGAGCUUGCUCUUUGGGUGGCGAGUGGCGGACGGGUGAGUAAUGUCUGGGAAACUGCCCGAUGGAGGGGGAUAACUACUGGAAACGGUAGCUAAUACCGCAUAACGUCGCAAGACCAAAGUGGGGGACCUUCGGGCCUCACACCAUCGGAUGUGCCCAGAUGGGAUUAGCUAGUAGGUGGGGUAAUGGCUCACCUUGGCGACGAUCCCUAGCUGGUCUGAGAGGAUGACCAGCCACACUGGAACUGAGACACGGUCCAGACUCCUACGGGAGGCAGCAGUGGGGAAUGUUGCACAAUGGGCGCAAGCCUGAUGCAGCCAUGCCGCGUGUAUGAAGAAGGCCUUCGGGUUGUAAAGUACUUUCAGCGGGGAGGAAGGCGGUGAGGUUAAUAACCUCGCCGAUUGACGUUACCCGCAGAAGAAGCACCGGCUAACUCCGUGCCAGCCGCCGCAGUAA
This 506-nucleotide ribosomal RNA is filed under the name uncultured bacterium. RNAcentral's name for it is "partial 16S ribosomal RNA". It matches the Rfam family "Bacterial small subunit ribosomal RNA", at positions 30 to 523 of the family's 1533-position model. The record is from RNAcentral.